UACGGAGGGUGCAAGCGUUACUCGGAAUCACUGGGCGUAAAGAGCGUGUAGGCGGGUAGUUAAGUCAGAAGUGAAAUCCAAUAGCUCAACUAUUGAACUGCUUUUGAAACUGAUUACCUAGAAUAUGGGAGAGGUAGAUGGAAUUUCUGGUGUAGGGGUAAAUCCGUAGAGAUCAGAAGGAAUACCGAUUGCGAAGGCGAUCUACUGGAACAUUAUGACGCUGAGACGCGAAAGCGUGGGGAGCAAACAGG
This 251-nucleotide ribosomal RNA is filed under the name uncultured bacterium. Its description in RNAcentral is "partial 16S ribosomal RNA". It matches the Rfam family "Bacterial small subunit ribosomal RNA", at positions 524 to 776 of the family's 1533-position model. The record is from RNAcentral.